CAUCGGCCCCCUCUUAAGGUUUGCUGCAUGACAUGAUGCUGUCAUCCACUAGUAUGUUGUUAGGAUCAGCCCUCACUUUUCAUUUAUUUUUCCAAUUCCGAGAGGCCUACAAUAAAAGAGGCUGAAAUCAUUUCCUUUUACCCUAAAGGUCUAUGGUGUAAUAAUCCGAAUAAACAAGUGAUGGAGCAAAUGGCCAUUUUCUUAGAUGGUCUUGGAUAUCCAAGUUGAAGUGCUUUGAUCCUUGUACGUAUUUUCUGACAUGUUCUGCCCUUCCCCCUCUCAGAAAACAUGAAACUUGUUAAGCAAUCUGGAUUUGGACCACGGACACAUGCUUUGCUUCUGUGUUCAGCAAGUUCAUUCUGAAACUUAUGGAACAGGAAAUGCUUCAUGAUGA
Long non-coding RNA from Musa acuminata AAA Group (dessert banana), 394 nucleotides. RefSeq lists it as uncharacterized. The transcript has 3 exons. The record is from RefSeq and is a predicted model, not a curated record. Lineage: Eukaryota; Viridiplantae; Streptophyta; Magnoliopsida; Zingiberales; Musaceae.